UACGUAGGGUGCAAGCGUUGUCCGGAUUUAUUGGGCGUAAAGGGCUAGUAGGCGGCUUAGCAAGUCGGGUGUGAAAUCUUCAGGCUUAACCUGGAGCGGCCACUCGAUACUGCUAUGGCUAGAGUCCGGUAGGGGACCACGGAAUUCCUGGUGUAGCGGUGAAAUGCGCAGAUAUCAGGAGGAACACCAAUGGCGAAGGCAGUGGUCUGGGCCGGUACUGACGCUGAAUAGCGAAAGCGUGGGGAGCGAACAGG
This 254-nucleotide ribosomal RNA is filed under the name uncultured bacterium. Its description in RNAcentral is "partial 16S ribosomal RNA". It matches the Rfam family "Bacterial small subunit ribosomal RNA", at positions 524 to 776 of the family's 1533-position model. The record is from RNAcentral.